UACGUAGGUGGCAAGCGUUGUCCGGAAUUAUUGGGCGUAAAGCGCGCGCAGGCGGUUCGUUAUGUCGGAUGUGAAAGCCCUUGGCUUAACCGAGGAAGUGCAUCCGAAACUGGCGAGCUAGAGUACUAAAGAGGAUCGCGGAAUUCCCGGUGUAGAGGUGAAAUUCGUAGAUAUCGGGAGGAACACCGGUGGCGAAGGCGGCGAUCUGGGUAGAUACUGACGCUGAGGUGCGAAAGCGUGGGGAGCAAACAGG
This 253-nucleotide ribosomal RNA is filed under the name uncultured bacterium. Its description in RNAcentral is "partial 16S ribosomal RNA". It matches the Rfam family "Bacterial small subunit ribosomal RNA", at positions 524 to 776 of the family's 1533-position model. The record is from RNAcentral.